Molecule: ribosomal RNA, 405 nt
Filed under: uncultured Candidatus Xiphinematobacter sp.
Lineage: Bacteria; Pseudomonadati; Verrucomicrobiota; Spartobacteria
Also listed under: 1 other name
Description: bacterial SSU rRNA
Rfam family: Bacterial small subunit ribosomal RNA
Source: RNAcentral
UCGAGAAUUUUUCACAAUGGGGGAAACCCUGAUGGAGCGACGCCGCGUGGAGGAUGAAGGCCCUCGGGUCGUAAACUCCUGUCAUGCGGGAACAAGAAAGUGAUAGUACCGCAAGAGGAAGAGACGGCUAACUCUGUGCCAGCAGCCGCGGUAAUACAGAGGUCUCAAGCGUUGUUCGGAUUCAUUGGGCGUAAAGGGUGCGUAGGUGGCGGUGUAAGUCUAACGUGAAAUCUCGGGGCUCAACCUCGAAAUUGCGUCGGAUACUGCAUUGCUAGAGGAUUGUAGAGGAGAGUGGAAUUCAUGGUGUAGCAGUGAAAUGCGUAGAUAUCAUGAGGAAGACCAGUUGCGAAGGCGACUCUCUGGGCAACUCCUGACACUGAGGCACGAAGGCUAGGGGAGCAAACG